Molecule: ribosomal RNA, 315 nt
Filed under: uncultured eukaryote
Lineage: Eukaryota
Description: partial 18S ribosomal RNA
Rfam family: Eukaryotic small subunit ribosomal RNA
Source: RNAcentral
CCCUUAGAUGUUCUGGGCCGCACGCGCGCUACACUGGCCGGUGCAACAAGCAUCCGUCCUUGGCCGACAGGCCCGGGCAAUCUUUGAACGCCGGUCGUGAUGGGGAUAGACUUUUGCAAUUUUUGGUCUUCAACGAGGAAUUCCUAGUAAACGCAAGUCAUCAACUUGCAUUGAUUACGUCCCUGCCCUUUGUACACACCGCCCGUCGCACCUACCGAUUGAAUGGUCCGGUGAAGCCUCCGGAUUGGCGCGCACCUCGGUGCCGCCGAGAAGUUGGCUAAACCUUACCAUUUAGAGGAAGGUGAAGUCGUAACA